Molecule: ribosomal RNA, 253 nt
Filed under: uncultured bacterium
Lineage: Bacteria
Description: partial 16S ribosomal RNA
Rfam family: Bacterial small subunit ribosomal RNA
Source: RNAcentral
UACAGAGGGUGCAAACGUUAUUCGGAAUCAUUGGGCGUAAAGGGUGCGUAGACGGCGCUUCAAGUCAAUUAUUAAAUCUUUUGGCCUAACCAAAAGCUUGUGGUUGAGACUGUAGCGCUAGAGGAUGGAAGAGAGAAGUGGAAUUCUCGGAGUAGCGGUAAAAUGCGCAGAUUUCGAGAGGAACACCGAUGGCGAAGGCAGCUUCUUGGUCCAUUUCUGACGUUGAGGCACGAAAGCGUGGGGAGCAAAAGGG